AUUGAACGCUGGCGGCAUGAUUUACACAUGCAAGUCGAACGGUAACAGGCCGCAAGGUGCUGACGGUUGGCGACCGGGGGAGUAAUGCACCGUAACGUGCCCAGUCGUGGGGGAUAACUACUCGAUAGAGUAGCUAAUACCGCAUACGAUCUAUGGAUGAAAGCGGGGGACCGUACGGCCUCGCGCGAUUGUAGCGGCCGAUGUCCGAUUAGGUAGUUGGUGGGGUAAAGGCUCACCAAGGCAACGAUCUGUAGCUGGUCUGAGAGGACGACCAGCCACACUGGGACUGAGACACGGCCCAGACUCCUACGGGAGGCAGCAGUGGGGAAUUUUGGACAAUGGGCGCAAGCCUGAUCCAGCAAUGCCGCGUGCAGGAAGAAGGCCUUCGGGUUGUAAACUGCUUUUGUACGGAACGAAACGGCUCUGGUUAAUACCCGGGGCUAAUGACGGUACCGUAAGAAUAAGCACCGGCUAACUACGUG
This 482-nucleotide ribosomal RNA is filed under the name uncultured bacterium. RNAcentral describes it as "partial 16S ribosomal RNA". It matches the Rfam family "Bacterial small subunit ribosomal RNA", at positions 30 to 507 of the family's 1533-position model. The record is from RNAcentral.